AUGAGAACGUAGCGAAAUGCGAUAAGUAAUGUGAAUUGCAGAAUUCAGUGAAUCAUCGAAUCUUUGAACGCACAUUGCGCCCGCCAGUAUUCUGGCGGGCAUGCCUGUCUGAGCGUCAUUUCAACCCUCAUGCCCCUAGGGCGUGGUGUUGGGGAUCGGCCAAAGCCCGCGAGGGACGGCCGGCCCCUAAAUCUAGUGGCGGACCCGUCGUGGCCUCCUCUGCGAAGUAGUGAUAUUCCGCAUCGGAGAGCGAUGAGCCCCUGCCGUUAAACCCCCAACUUUCCAAGGUUGACCUCAGAUCAGGUAGGAAUACCCGCUGAACUUAAGCAUAUCAAUAAGCGGAGGA
This 346-nucleotide unclassified non-coding RNA is filed under the name soil metagenome. RNAcentral describes it as "partial contains 5.8S ribosomal RNA, internal transcribed spacer 2, and large subunit ribosomal RNA". The stretch from base 4 to 118 matches the Rfam family "5.8S ribosomal RNA", at positions 40 to 154 of the family's 154-position model. The record is from RNAcentral.